UACGUAGGGUGCGAGCGUUAAUCGGAAUUACUGGGCGUAAAGCGCACGUAGGCGGACAUUUAAGUCAGGGGUGAAAUCCCAGAGCUCAACUCUGGAACUGCCUUUGAUACUGGGUGUCUUGAGUAUGGAAGAGGUGAGUGGAAUUCCGAGUGUAGAGGUGAAAUUCGUAGAUAUUCGGAGGAACACCAGUGGCGAAGGCGGCUCACUGGUCCAUUACUGACGCUGAGGUGCGAAAGCGUGGGGAGCAAACAGG
RNAcentral lists this ribosomal RNA (253 nucleotides) under uncultured bacterium. RNAcentral describes it as "partial 16S ribosomal RNA". It matches the Rfam family "Bacterial small subunit ribosomal RNA", at positions 524 to 776 of the family's 1533-position model. The record is from RNAcentral.